AUUGCGAGGACUUUAGCAAUGUAGGGGAUGAGCGGCAAAUUCAGGAUCAACAACACAAGGUUGCCGAUGAACAUCGACAUAAUGACCGCCCAGAAAAUCUGUGGAUCGUCAAUCAUCAGGCGUGGGCC
This 128-nucleotide non-coding RNA is filed under the name Octadecabacter arcticus. Its description in RNAcentral is "Ruegeria cis8 sRNA". It matches the Rfam family "Ruegeria cis8 sRNA". From Rfam's summary of the family: Cis-encoded. Targets hypothetical protein. Higher sRNA expression during C-limited growth. Lineage: Bacteria; Pseudomonadati; Pseudomonadota; Alphaproteobacteria; Rhodobacterales; Roseobacteraceae. The record is from RNAcentral. RNAcentral also lists the same sequence under 1 other name.